Molecule: ribosomal RNA, 532 nt
Filed under: uncultured bacterium
Lineage: Bacteria
Description: bacterial SSU rRNA
Rfam family: Bacterial small subunit ribosomal RNA
Source: RNAcentral
UAAUAGACUACCCGUGGUAGUCCACGCCCUAAACGAUGCGAACUGGAUGUUGGGUACAUUACGGUACUCAGUGUCGAAGCUAACGCGUUAAGUUCGCCGCCUGGGGAGUACGGUCGCAAGACUGAAACUCAAAGGAAUUGACGGGGGCCCGCACAAGCGGUGGAGUAUGUGGUUUAAUUCGAUGCAACGCGAAGAACCUUACCUGGCCUUGACAUCUGUCGAAUCCUGCAGAGAUGCGGGAGUGCCGCAAGGAACGACAAGACAGGUGCUGCACGGCUGUCGUCAGCUCGUGUCGUGAGAUGUUGGGUUAAGUCCCGCAACGAGCGCAACCCUUGUCCCUAGUUGCCAGCACGUAAUGGUGGGAACUCUAGGGAGACUGCCGGUGACAAACCGGAGGAAGGUGGGGAUGACGUCAAGUCCUCAUGGCCCUUACGGCCAGGGCUACGCACGUACUACAAUGGUCGGUACAGAGGGUUGCGAAGCCGCGAGGUGAAGCCAAUCCCAGAAAACCGAUCCCAGUCCGGAUCGGAGU